RNAcentral lists this ribosomal RNA (257 nucleotides) under bacterium enrichment culture clone ALO1_GLFRUDD03FKZNC. Its description in RNAcentral is "partial 16S ribosomal RNA". It matches the Rfam family "Bacterial small subunit ribosomal RNA", at positions 9 to 266 of the family's 1533-position model. The record is from RNAcentral.
GAGUUUGAUCAUGGCUCAGAUUGAACGCUGGCGGCAUGCCUUACACAUGCAAGUCGAACGGCAGCACGGGAGCUUGCUCCUGGUGGCGAGUGGCGAACGGGUGAGUAAUGCAUCGGAACGUAUCCUGGAGUGGGGGAUAACGUAGCGAAAGUUACGCUAAUACCGCAUAUUCUGUGAGCAGGAAAGCGGGGGACCUUCGGGCCUCGCGCUCUUGGAGCGGCCGAUGUCGGAUUAGCUAGUUGGUGAGGUAAAGGCUC